CAGUAAACAAAUUCACGAUUAAAAUAAUAGGGUAUCUAAUCCUAGUCUUUUUAUAAUUUUCUGA
Molecule: transfer RNA, 64 nt
Filed under: Pachybrachis sp. idba_138
Lineage: Eukaryota; Metazoa; Arthropoda; Insecta; Coleoptera; Chrysomelidae
Description: tRNA-Ser
Source: RNAcentral